This 253-nucleotide ribosomal RNA is filed under the name uncultured bacterium. Its description in RNAcentral is "partial 16S ribosomal RNA". It matches the Rfam family "Bacterial small subunit ribosomal RNA", at positions 524 to 776 of the family's 1533-position model. The record is from RNAcentral.
UACGUAGGGGACGAGCGUUGUCCGGAAUUAUUGGGCGUAAAGAGCGUGUAGGCGGCUCUGCAAGUCCUGCGUGAAAUCUCGAGGCUCAACCUCGAGCGGUCGUGGGAAACUGGAGGGCUAGAGUGCGGGAGAGGGAAGUGGAAUUCCAGGUGUAGCGGUGAAAUGCGCAGAUAUCAGGAGGAACACCGGUGGCGAAGGCAGCUCGCUGGGACGGUACUGACGCUAAGGCGCGAAAGCGUGGGGAGCAAACAGG